CGCCGUUGUCUUCUGCCGUCUCCUUCCCUUCUCUCUCUCGCCGAUCUUGCCUCUUGCCUGGGAGAUCUCCUUGCCUGAACCUCAGCGCCGGACGCAAGCUUCGUACCGAGGCCCUGCUGGUACCUAGCGUCAGUAGCUUGUUGCUUCCUGCCCCAUUCCCGGAUUCAUGGUUUCUGCUUUGGUUCUGCUACCUCGCUUAGUUCGUUUGUUGCGUGAAUCUUGGUUUCUUCAGACGCUGUUUACAUACAUACAUAUUGUGCCGAUCGACAGGUGAAGGGAAUUGACCGAGAAGUGCUGCUGCCAAAAGAUGGGCACCAGGAAGUGGCUGAGGUCGCGCUGCAGCUGGGGAAGUACUGCAUAGAUGACCCCGUCAAGUCCCCGCCGGGCGGACGGAGGAUGGUUAUUCGUACUGCCAAAAGAAUGGGAGGUUGUGUACUGCUCGGUGCCAACCUCGCCGGGCGGGCUCUACCGGACGCCCUUGGCCGCCUGGUAUUCAAAACCGACGAGAUGGUCCAGGCGGUGGAAGCGCCUGACGUGGUCAGGAACAAGGUGUCGUUCUCCGUCUUUGGCCUAGAGGGCGCAGUGUCAUUGAAAGGUAAGCUGAAUGUGCUGGACAGUAAAUGGAUUCAGGUCGUGUUUGAAGCGCCGGAACUGAAGGUCGGCUCCUUGGGGUUUCAGUACGGUGGCGAGAGCGAAGUCAAGCUGGAGAAGGGAAGGAGAUGGGAGAAGACAACAGCGCGCGGACGGAGGAUAGUUAUUCGUUCUCUCAACGAUUAAUAUCGAUUGUCAGUCUAUUUCAGAGUGGAGUCUUUCCCCUGGUUUUUCAUAUCGUCGAAACCCUCGCCAACACCUCCAUUUCGUCGAAGCCACAUCCGCGGCGUUUCAUAAUCGCAAAAGUCUCCUCCCUCCCACAGCCACAGUCCCCCCAUGGCUGCGACUGCAACCUCCUACGAGCGCCGCCUGCUCGCGGCAGCCGACCUUGUCCUCUCCGCCGACGCCCAGGACAAAGGAAUCCGCCUCCCGGACCUCGGCGUCACGGCCGACCUCAAGCCGCACCAGCUCCAUGGCGUCGCCUGGCUCAUCCGCCGCUAUCGCCUCGGCGUCAACGUCGUACUCGGUGAUGAGAUGGGGCUUGGCAAAACCCUACAAGCGAUUUCUCUAUUGAGCUAUCUCAAGAUCCACCGUAUUGCACCUGGACCAUUUCUGGUCUUAUGUCCUCUAAGCGUCACAGAUGGGUGGCUGUCAGAAUUCAGUAAAUUCUGUCCUUCCUUCAGGGUGAUGCAGUAUGUAGGUGGUAAGCUUCACCGCCGUGACCUUCGGAGGACCAUCUAUGAAGAUGUACAGAAAGCUUCCACAUCAUCUCGAUCCUUUGAAUUACCAUUUGAUGUGCUCAUGACAACGUAUGACAUAGCCUUGAUGGAUCAAGAUUUCCUUUCACAAAUCCCCUGGCACUAUGCAGUUAUUGAUGAAGCUCAACGUCUUAAAAAUCCAUCCAGUGUGAGCAGACACUUAAUCUUUGUACUGUAUAAUGUCCUUGAGCAACGUUUCAUCAUGCCAAGACGUCUACUACUAACAGGCACACCUAUCCAGAACAAUCUUUCUGAAUUAUGGGCUUUGAUGCACUUUUGUUUGCCUUCAAUAUUUGGAAAGCUGGAUGAGUUCCUUUCUACAUUUAAGGAAGCAGGGGAAUCACUGACAGGUGAUGAAGCUAAUAAAGCAAAAGGCCAAUUCAAGAUCAUUAAACAUGUACUCAAGGCAUUUAUGCUACGUAGGACAAAAUUUUUACUAAUCGAGAGUGGAAUUCUGGCGCUGCCUCCACUAACUGAGCUAACAGUGAUGGUGCCGUUGACACAGUUACAAAAGAAGCUUUACAUGUCAGUGUUGCGGAAAGAGCUGCCAACACUUAUUUCAUUUGCUAGAGGAUCAUCUCGCCACCAGUCUUUGCAAAACAUUGUUAUACAACUGAGGAAAGUUUGCAGUCACCCAUAUCUGUUCAGUGGCAUUGAACCUGAGCCUUAUGUGGAAGGGGAACAUUUAAUUCAGGCUAGUGGAAAGCUCAUUGUCCUAGAUCUUAUCCUGAAGAAGCUCCAUGAAUGCGGACAUCGUGUUUUGCUAUUUGCUCAGAUGACCCAGACACUGGACAUUCUUCAGGAUUUUCUAGAGCUACGCAAUUACACUUAUGAGCGCCUGGAUGGUUCAGUACGUGCUGAGGAACGGUUUGCAGCAAUAAGAAAUUUCAGUUCUCAAUCUACAAAAGGUCUUAUCAGAGAUGAUAAUCGAAGUGAAGCAUUUGUUUUCAUGAUAUCAACUAGAGCAGGUGGUGUGGGGCUUAAUCUCAUUGGUGCCGAUACUGUUAUAUUUUAUGAACAAGAUUGGAAUCCUCAAGCUGACAAACAGGCUCUACAGCGCGCUCACCGCAUUGGACAGCUGAAUCAUGUCUUGUCAAUAAAUUUGGUGUCACAGCGCACAAUUGAAGAGGUCAUAAUGCGAAGAGCCGACAGAAAACUUAAGCUUAGCCAUAAUAUUAUUGGAGAAGAAGACGGGACUGAUGGGAAGGGAGGAGAUCCAGGAAUUGAAGCUAGUGACAUGAGAUCAAUUAUCUUUGGCUUGCACCUGUUUGAUCCAGCAGAUACAGCUACAGAAACAAUCGAUGAGGAUAUAACUGCUGAGACAUUCAGUGUCGAGAAACUGGCAAAGUUAAAAACAAUGUCUGAAAAGGUUGUCAUGAUGCGUAGCCAUGAGUCUUCUGAAAAGGAUGAACGAGCAUUUGAGAUCAAUCCAAAUAUGACUGAUGACAGUGGAACUGUGAUUAGAAGGGCUUCUGAUUCUAUCCGCAUUGAUCCUGGGCUAAAUGAAGCUGCAUACCUAUCCUGGGUCAAGAAGUUCAAAGAGGCUUCCAUUUCUAGUGAAGAUGCCACAGUUGGAUUUGGAAGGCAAAGAGCAGCGCCUGAAGAAAAGCUCCUGAAACAUGAUGUUAACAAGCAAAAAAUAGAAGAAAAGAGAUUGGCCAAAUGGGAAAGUUUGGGUUACCAGACACUAGCAGUUAAGGAACCUGAUAUCACAGCAAGCCAGAAUAUUUCAGACGCGGGAUCCAUCCAAUUUGUAUAUGGAGAUUGUACUAAUCCUUCAAAAGUUUGUCCCGCAAAGCCUGCCAUCAUAUUCAGCUGCAUAGAUAAUUCUGGGACUUGGGGGCAUGGAGGGAUGUUUGAUGCUUUGACUAGUCUGUCGACAUGCAUUCCAGAUGCUUAUCACCGUGCUUCUGAAUUUGAUGAUCUCCACAUGGGCGAUCUUCACUUGAUUCAGCUUGAUGUAGCUUACUUUAGGGGCAGACCUGGUGGAGUGGUGAGAGCUGACUCACUGAGUCACGGGUUUCGAAACAGCCUCUCAGCAUUUGCAGGAAAAUGCUUGUUUCGGUUUAUCCCUUGUGAAGACUCUACUCAUGUGUGAUUACUUUGACAAGAACCUGUCCUCCGUGUCUUCAUUUCAUUUGCAUCCUUACUGCAGAAGGCAACUGUACCCGGAGUUUGGAUGCACCUUUAUGGGUUGCACUAGCUAUCGUUCAGUCUUACAAUCCGAGGCGUAAAGUUCCGAGAAGUGAAAUCUCCAUGUCUGAUUUGGAGCUCUGUAUAUCAAAAGCAGCCUUCUCAGCUGCUCAGCAUUCUGCGGCUAUCCACAUGCCCCGAAUUGGUUACCAAGGUGGCUCCCAACGAUCAGAAUGGUAUACAAUAGAACGCCUGCUCAGGAAACACUCAUCUCUCCAUGGAAUCGACAUUUUUGUAUACUACUUUCAGCGACGACAGACAGAUUGCCAGAUUGUAACCCAGGUAGGUCAUGCUGACGAUUCGACCCAAGCGUAGGGAUGUCUCUGUAAAAACCCACUACAUCAGAAGAAUCUGGGAUUAUGUGUAGCUAGCUGCAACAAUUUGUCUUUUCUUUUUCUUUUACUGCCCCUUCUCUCUGGGACCAAAACGCCUAUGAAUAGAUGAGGGAGCCAAAUGAAUUAGGUUUUAGUACAUUUAGCUAAGAGGUGUAUGUAUGUACAAGUGUUGUUUGCAUCUGCAGUCUCUUUUGAUGAAAAUCUAUGUGGCAUUUAUAUUGCUUGA
Molecule: RNA transcript, 4103 nt
Organism: Zea mays
Lineage: Eukaryota; Viridiplantae; Streptophyta; Magnoliopsida; Poales; Poaceae
Gene name: probable helicase CHR10
Exons: 19
Source: RefSeq, a predicted model, not a curated record